GGUUUGGUGGUCUAGUAGUAUGAUUCACCCUUAGGGCACACCUGAGCUUGCAUGGGUGAGGUCCCGGGUUCAAUUCCCGGCCAGACCC
Molecule: transfer RNA, 88 nt
Filed under: Puccinia triticina
Lineage: Eukaryota; Fungi; Basidiomycota; Pucciniomycetes; Pucciniales; Pucciniaceae
Description: tRNA-Pro
Rfam family: tRNA
About the family: Transfer RNA (tRNA) molecules are approximately 80 nucleotides in length. Their secondary structure includes four short double-helical elements and three loops (D, anti-codon, and T loops). Further hydrogen bonds mediate the characteristic L-shaped molecular structure. tRNAs have two regions of fundamental functional importance: the anti-codon, which is responsible for specific mRNA codon recognition, and the 3' end, to which the tRNAs corresponding amino acid is attached (by aminoacyl-tRNA synthetases). tRNAs cope with the degeneracy of the genetic code in two manners: having more than one tRNA (with a specific anti-codon) for a particular amino acid; and 'wobble' base-pairing, i.e. permitting non-standard base-pairing at the 3rd anti-codon position.
Source: RNAcentral